GGAGGAAAGCAGGGGAUCGCAAGACCUUGCGCUUUUGGAGCGGCCGAUGCCUGAUUAGCUAGUUGGUGAGGUAAAGGCUUACCAAGGCGUCGAUCAGUAGCUGGUCUGAGAGGACGACCAGCCACACUGGGACUGAGACACGGCCCAGACUCCUACGGGAGGCAGCAGUGGGGAAUUUUGGACAAUGGGGGAAACCCUGAUCCAGCCAUGCCGCGUGAGUGAAGAAGGCCUUCGGGUUGUAAAGCUCUUUCAGCCGGAACGAAACGGUCACAGCUAAUACCUGUGACUACUGACGGUACCGGAAGAAGAAGCACCGGCUAACUACGUGCCAGCAGCCGCGGUAAUACGUAGGGUGCGAGCGUUAAUCGGAAUUACUGGGCGUAAAGCGUGCGCAGGCGGUUUUGUAAGUCAGAUGUGAAAUCCCCGGGCUUAACCUGGGAACUGCGUUUGAAACUACAAAGCUAG
This 465-nucleotide ribosomal RNA is filed under the name uncultured beta proteobacterium. RNAcentral describes it as "bacterial SSU rRNA". It matches the Rfam family "Bacterial small subunit ribosomal RNA", at positions 198 to 644 of the family's 1533-position model. Lineage: Bacteria; Pseudomonadati; Pseudomonadota; Betaproteobacteria. The record is from RNAcentral.